This 633-nucleotide ribosomal RNA is filed under the name Sarocladium spinificis. Its description in RNAcentral is "partial large subunit ribosomal RNA". It matches the Rfam family "Eukaryotic large subunit ribosomal RNA", at positions 76 to 732 of the family's 3401-position model. Lineage: Eukaryota; Fungi; Ascomycota; Sordariomycetes; Hypocreales; Sarocladiaceae. The record is from RNAcentral.
UGCCUCAGUAACGGCGAGUGAAGCGGCAACAGCUCAAAUUUGAAAUCUGGCCGCAAGGUCCGAGUUGUAAUUUGCAGAGGAUGCUUUUGGCGAGGUGCCUUCCGAGUUCCCUGGAACGGGACGCCAUAGAGGGUGAGAGCCCCGUACGGUAGGACCACCGAGCCUUUGUAAAGCUCCUUCGACGAGUCGAGUAGUUUGGGAAUGCUGCUCUAAAUGGGAGGUGUACGUCUUCUAAAGCUAAAUACCGGCCAGAGACCGAUAGCGCACAAGUAGAGUGAUCGAAAGAUGAAAAGCACUUUGAAAAGAGGGUUAAAAAGUACGUGAAAUUGUUGAAAGGGAAGCAUUCAUGACCAGACUUGGGCUUGGUUGAACAUCCGGCGUUCUCGCCGGUGCACUCUGCCAGUCCAGGCCAGCAUCAGUUUGCCCCGGGGGACAAAGGCGGUGGGAAUGUGGCUCUCUCCGGGGAGUGUUAUAGCCCGCCGUGUAAUGCCCUGGGGCGGACUGAGGAACGCGCUUCGGCUCGGAUGCUGGCGUAAUGGUCAUCAAUGACCCGUCUUGAAACACGGACCAAGGAGUCGUCUUCGUAUGCGAGUGUUCGGGUGUCAAACCCCUACGCGAAAUGAAAGUGAACGU